This is a non-coding RNA of Biomphalaria pfeifferi, 312 nucleotides long. The record is from the annotation of a GenBank genome assembly. Lineage: Eukaryota; Metazoa; Mollusca; Gastropoda; Planorbidae.
UUUUUCUUGACUUCCAUUUAUUGGGUGACCUCAUAAAUAUUUAACAAACAGAAAUAAAGAUGUGAAAAUAAAGUAAUGCUACAAAAUUAAUCAUGAACUUUUAAGGUCAUGUGAUAUCAAAACACUAAUAUUUCUACUAAAAAAAAAUUGUAAGCAGCCAGUAAUAUUCAAUGAUACCCUGUGAUGAAAAUCAUCUGAGCAACUAUUUCAAAUCAAUAACACAACUAUUGCAAAUCAAUAACACUUGGUAUAGAGCAUCCUUAAUACUUUGAAAACAGGUAACAGAAAGAUACAUGAUCUCAAAGAAAGAAC